Molecule: small nuclear RNA, 102 nt
Organism: Talpa occidentalis (Iberian mole)
Lineage: Eukaryota; Metazoa; Chordata; Mammalia; Eulipotyphla; Talpidae
Source: RefSeq, a predicted model, not a curated record
UGGCUUCAGCAGCAAGGAUACUGAAGUUGGGAUGAUACAGAGAUGAACAUGGCCCCUGCGCAAGGAUGAAAAGCAAAUUCCUAAAGUGUUUGUUAAAUUUUU